GAUGAACGCUGGCGGCGUGCCUAAUACAUGCAAGUCGAGCGAACAGACGAGGAGCUUGCUCCUCUGACGUUAGAGGCGGACGGGUGAGUAAAACGUGGAUAACCUACCUAUAAGACUGGGAUAACUUCGGGAAACCGGUGCUAAUACCGGAUAAUAUCUUGAACCGCAUGGUUCAAUAGUGAAAGACGGUUUUGCUGUCCCUUAUAGAUGGAUCCGCGCCGCAUUAGUUAGUUGGUAAGGUAACGGCUUACCAAGGCAACGAUGCGUAGCCGACCUGAGAGGGUGAUCGGCCACACUGGAACUGAGACACGGUCCAGACUCCUACGGGAGGCAGCAGUAGGGAAUCUUCCGCAAUGGGCGAAAGCCUGACCGAGCAACGCCGCGUGAGUGAUGAAGGUCUUCGGAUCGUAAAACGCUGUUAUUAGGGAAGAACAAAUGUGUAAGUAACUAUGCACAUCUUGACGGUACCUAAUCAGAAAGCCACGGCUAACUACGUG
This 497-nucleotide ribosomal RNA is filed under the name uncultured bacterium. RNAcentral describes it as "partial 16S ribosomal RNA". It matches the Rfam family "Bacterial small subunit ribosomal RNA", at positions 28 to 507 of the family's 1533-position model. The record is from RNAcentral.